Long non-coding RNA from Anneissia japonica, 1418 nucleotides. RefSeq lists it as uncharacterized. The transcript is spliced from 4 exons. Lineage: Eukaryota; Metazoa; Echinodermata; Crinoidea; Comatulida; Comatulidae. The record is from RefSeq and is a predicted model, not a curated record.
CGUCGUUACAAAUAUUAGGCACCUUGAGUAAUCACAGUACCUUACGGGUUCAAAUCAGCACCUAACAGGUUUACAUGAGCCCCUCGCCUGGUUGAAAUUGGCACCUCGGCAGGUUCGCAUGAUUGGUUAAUAAAUCCACCUUAGCAGGUUCACAUCAGCACCUCAGCACAUGAGCACCUUAUUAGCAGAAAUAACAGUUAAAUCUCGUCGUGUGCGGCGGGCUUUAAAGAAGUGCACGCGCGUACGACGAAUGACAGUUAGGCGCGUGUAAUGUGUGCGGGCAGGCUUUUUUUCCCCGCCGGCGGCUGAAUGAAAUCAGACAGUUGACGACGCACCCUCUGUUUAUAAAUUAUAUGCACAUAUGUCUUGUCUAACCUCAUUACUGUUUGUCUGGUUGUUGACGUCUUUCCAUCAAAAGUCGAAACAUUAUUGGUCGGUUGUUCUUCUUUUCAUCAGUCAUUUGGCCAUAACAAAACUGCUUCACCUGUAUACCAAGGCCUGUGAUGUGCCUUCUUUAUCCAAGUGGCCUUUACCUACCAAGUACCUGUAUUACCACAUGAUGUGGAAGAUCUUUUGAAACAGCAGGACAAGUCGGUGUUGUCAAGGCAGUAAGAUUAUACAAAGUUUAUUUGAAGACAUGAUACAAUUUACUCUAUAUCCAACAACAGCUGAGUAUACUGAGGUAGCCAGAGCUAGUUACCAAAUUUAAGAUCUUAGAAGAUAAAUCUGGAAAUUCAACAAGACAUGAUAAUACGUCAGGAGAAAACCAAGCCAGCACAAGCAUGUAACAGAUUUAAUGGACCUUUCAAAGAAGUGUAACCCAGACCAGAACAUUAUGGUCGAUAAACUAGAGCGUACAAAGGAAUAUCGUUUAAAAUAUAUUGCUGAGCACUCUGUGAAAGACGUGUUGGAGAAAUAUCCUUUUCUUAAACUAGAAAAUGAGGUAAUAAUUAAAUAUCCAUAUCAAUUAUGUAGCAUGUCAAUAAUUAUUGAGACAAAUAAUUCCAUAAAAAGGAAUGUAAGUGGCCUAUAGUUAUUGAGAAUAUAAUGCUAGGGGAUUACACUUUUCCCAUCUACUAUUAAAGCUUUGUUUCACUUAAAAAGAAGCAGAACUGGCAUUAUUCAUGAAGGAAAUGCUUUUUCAGAACUUCUUCCUCAUGGAAAUACCAGUACCAUUUUAAAAUGACAAUAUGGUGAAUUAUUUCAUGGAGAGAAUAAAAAAAUUAUAUAUAAAAAGCCAAUUUUUUUUUUUUAAGGUAGAGGUUUAUUUUAUACUAGAAAAACUGUAACAUAUCCAGUGAAUAGAUGAUGCAUUAUAUUUGUCCUCUAAUCAUUAGUUGUAAUAACUGACCAUAGAAGUGUUUGUCAUAUUAGUUAAGUAAUACGUUUUUAUCCGAAUAAACAUUUGAAGUGUUUAA